UACGGGGGGGGCAAGCGUUGUUCGGAAUUACUGGGCGUAAAGGGCUCGUAGGCGGCCAACUAAGUCAUACGUGAAAUCCCUCGGCUUAACCGGGGAACUGCGUCUGAUACUGGAUGGCUUGAGAUUGGGAGAGGGAUGCGGAAUUCCAGGUGUAGCGGUGAAAUGCGUAGAGAUGUGGAGGAAUACCGAUGGCGAAGGCAGCCCCCUGGGCCAAUACUGACGCUCAUGCACGAAAGCGUGGGGAGCAAACAGG
Molecule: ribosomal RNA, 253 nt
Filed under: uncultured bacterium
Lineage: Bacteria
Description: partial 16S ribosomal RNA
Rfam family: Bacterial small subunit ribosomal RNA
Source: RNAcentral